UUCGGAAAAUUAGUAAACUGGCGAACGGGUGAGUAAUAUGUAAGUAAUCUACCCUUGGGUUCGGAAUAACGUCGAGAAAUCGGCGCUAAUACCAAAUAACGCAGCGGCAUCGCAUGGUGAUGUUGUUAAAGGUACUUGUACCGCCUAAGGAUGGGCCUGCAUUUGAUUAGUUUGUUGGUGGGGUAAUGGCUCACCAAGGCUACGAUCAAUAGCUGGUCUGAGAGGAUGAUCAGCCACACUGGAACUGAGACACGGUCCAGACUCC
RNAcentral lists this ribosomal RNA (265 nucleotides) under uncultured bacterium. RNAcentral describes it as "partial 16S ribosomal RNA". It matches the Rfam family "Bacterial small subunit ribosomal RNA", at positions 78 to 339 of the family's 1533-position model. The record is from RNAcentral.